GAUGAUUGGCCGCCCUGGGGACUCUGUAGUUGGCCGUGUUUACAUCAGUGGUUGGAGACUAGACCUAACAGACAAGUAUGUCCAGUUUGCAAAGCGGGAAUCAGCCGGGACAAGGUCAUCCCACUCUAUGGCAGAGGCAGCACUGGACAGCAGGAUCCCAGAGAGAAGACUCCUCCUCGUCCUCAAGGCCAGAGGCCAGAGCCAGAAAAUAGAGGGGGAUUUCAAGGAUUUGGAUUUGGAGAUGGUGGCUUUCAGAUGUCUUUUGGAAUUGGAGCAUUUCCAUUUGGGAUAUUUGCCACAGCAUUUAACAUAAAUGAUGGGCGACCUCCUCCAGCCGUCCCUGGGACACCCCAGUAUGUGGAUGAGCAGUUCCUGUCACGCCUCUUCCUGUUUGUUGCCCUGGUGAUCAUGUUCUGGCUCCUGAUCGCCUAAGACAGGACCCUGUUUACUUCUACAGCAGCACCUCUGGGCUGGUGAUAUGCCGAACCCACUCCUGUGUUUGAUUUGUUUAAUCCCGACCCUGGAAUCAAGGGGCAGAAACACAUCAAGGAGUCUUGCUUCUCCAUUAGAGCUUUGGGACUCGAAAGCAGUUGGCGAGGAACCCCCACUUUCACCACUGCUGCACACACACUAUAACCUCAGGUCUUGUGUUGACUCACUGCUCCUGGGUGGCAAUGGGAAGUCCUGACCCAGUCUGCUCAGUAGUCCCAGCUCUGCACAGGGGAGACGGGGGAAGAAAGAAACAGUUCUUUCUCGAGAACUUUAAAUUACAAAAAUGAAGGGAUGAACCACACGGUAUUCACAGACACUUUCAUCUUUUACAUACCCCUUGGUAAGUGGCCUCCACUCCCUAUCCUGAGAGACUCCCUUCCACAGCCCAGUACUGCUCCUCCCGCCUUCCCCUUCCACAGCAAAGACAAAGAGUUGCUGCCCAAGAAGGCCAUGAUCGUAGCAGCAGAAGUUGAAGAUGCUGCAUGACCUUACCAGGGACUCUGGUCCUGGCUUGGCCCUGGGCCUCGUUCAGUGUCUCGGCCCUAGAGCAGCUGGGAUGACCUGCUGUCUUCCUGGUGUAGAUUGUCCCUGAUGCCACUUGGCUCAGAUUCCCAUCCUCCUUCUCCCCUAGGCUGCUGUUGAAUUCAGACUGAUGCAGCUUCAGGGCUGAUGCAGGAGCAACAGGACAGGUAGCCCCGCCCCUAGGCUGGAGAAGCCCGAGUCAUCCUCUCCCAGAACUUGCCCAGAGAAACUGGAGGCCUUCUCAGGUCAGCCUAGCUACAUGUAACACCACCACCCUCAGAAGCCAUUGUCCUUUUUUAAAAGAGACUGGGACUCUGAUUCCAUCUGCUGUUGGUUUGGCUUCCUGGAUUUACCUGAAAACUCCUUGAAUGUGUGCUGAACCCAGGGACACAUGAGGCUCCUGAGCCAGCAACCCCUGGUGACAUGCAAUGCAAGGACUGCAGAGACACAGUGUGGUCGUCAUUCCUAUUCCCUCACAUUGAUUUGUUCUUGAACUUCCAAGCUGUUUCCUCUGAAUCUGAUUGUGGGAUUGUGGUGCCAGGCAGGAGAACAAUUCACUUGCUAAGACAGUUCUCACUCUGCCUGUCAGGCCUCAUCUUAGAAGUGUCACCUCAGCAGGGCAGCACGAUGAGCUUCUGCUGGACCCUUGUUCACUUCUCCGGCACCUACUGCCCCAGCAGUAACAGACGCGGGAGAAAGCCUGGCCUGCUGGGUUUUCAAGAUGUGACUCUGCAUAAUCUAUGGAGCCCUAGACCUUGAGGGUGUGAAAGAAUCCUCCUCCUCACUGCACAGUCCUCACCUGCCGAUGCCAGUGUUAGUGUUGAAAUGAGCACAGUAUGAAGUAUUGUGUAGGAGGGUGGUUUGGCAACUGUAGCUGGUAAGAAUAAGCCACCAACUUCAUGGUGUGCCUGACAGAUUUUAAAUAUUCUUUGUCGCUUGGAAAUCCUGUCAGAGGGCCCUGGAGUGUCUCUGUUCUAGAGAGAGUUGGUAGGAUCCUUCUGUGUAGUGUGGCCCUAAGUAGUAGAGGGAAAACGUAAGCCAAUGAACACAAAAGAGAGAAAAGUUGUGAGUAGUGGAGUAAACCAUUUGUAAGCUGGUGAAAUGGCCAACCCAGGCGUGCACCAGCAGUCAUCCCAAGGCAUGCAGUAGCACAGCUGUGGCGGCCUGUGCCCUUUGUGAGCAUUGCAGGGCUGUACAUCUGCCAGCAGCUUUCCCUUCUGGGCUCUCUGUGUCCUCAGCUCCACCUUUCCGCCUCCCCCAUGGACAAGGACAGUCAGAAAAUGGGAACACAGAAGGCAGCAUACCUUGACCAGCCAUUGAUUUUCACUGUUGUGAAAGUGAUUUGAUUUAGAAUUAAAUGGUUUUACAUUA
This 2385-nucleotide long non-coding RNA is filed under the name Rattus norvegicus (Norway rat). Its description in RNAcentral is "long non-coding RNA NONRATT010080". The record is from RNAcentral. Lineage: Eukaryota; Metazoa; Chordata; Mammalia; Rodentia; Muridae.